RNAcentral lists this ribosomal RNA (372 nucleotides) under uncultured organism. RNAcentral describes it as "bacterial SSU rRNA". It matches the Rfam family "Bacterial small subunit ribosomal RNA", at positions 526 to 896 of the family's 1533-position model. The record is from RNAcentral.
CGAACCGUCCAAACGUUAUUCGGAAUUACUGGGCUUAAAGGGUACGUAGGCGGCGCUGUCAGUCGGGUGUGAAAUCCCACGGCUCAACCGUGGAACUGCGCCCGAUACUGCAGUGCUUGAGGGAGACAGAGGUAAGCGGAACUGAUGGUGGAGCGGUGAAAUGCGUUGAUAUCAUCAGGAACACCAGUGGCGAAAGCGGCUUACUGGGUCUCUUCUGACGCUGAGGUACGAAAGCUAGGGGAGCGAAGGGGAUUAGAUACCCCCGUAGUCCUAGCUGUAAACGUUGAGCACUUGAUCGAGGGCCCCCCCAUAGGCUCUCGGUCGUAGCGAAAGUGUUAAGUGCUCCGCCUGGGGAGUAUGGUCGCAAGGCUG